Molecule: ribosomal RNA, 304 nt
Filed under: uncultured bacterium
Lineage: Bacteria
Description: partial 16S ribosomal RNA
Rfam family: Bacterial small subunit ribosomal RNA
Source: RNAcentral
CAGCAGCAGCCACGGUAAUACGUAGGGUGCGAGCGUUAAUCGGAAUUACUGGGCGUAAAGCGUGCGCAGGCGGUUGUGUAAGACAGGUGUGAAAUCCCCGGGCUUAACCUGGGAACUGCGCUUGUGACUGCACAGCUAGAGUAUGGCAGAGGGAGGUGGAAUUCCACGUGUAGCAGUGAAAUGCGUAGAGAUGUGGAGGAACACCGAUGGCGAAGGCAGCCCCCUGGGCCAAUACUGACGCUCAUGCACGAAAGCGUGGGGAGCAAACAGGAUUAGAUACCCGAGUAGUCCCUGUCUCUUAUAC